This 404-nucleotide ribosomal RNA is filed under the name uncultured Clostridium sp. RNAcentral describes it as "bacterial SSU rRNA". It matches the Rfam family "Bacterial small subunit ribosomal RNA", at positions 355 to 776 of the family's 1533-position model. Lineage: Bacteria; Bacillati; Bacillota; Clostridia; Eubacteriales; Clostridiaceae. The record is from RNAcentral.
UGGGGAAUAUUGCACAAUGGGGGAAACCCUGAUGCAGCGACGCCGCGUGAGUGAAGAAGUAUUUCGGUAUGUAAAGCUCUAUCAGCAGGGAAGAAAAUGACGGUACCUGAGUAAGAAGCCCCGGCUAACUACGUGCCAGCAGCCGCGGUAAUACGUAGGGGGCAAGCGUUAUCCGGAUUUACUGGGUGUAAAGGGAGCGUAGACGGCAGGGCAAGUCUGAAGUGAAAGGCGGGGGCUCAACCCCCGGACUGCUUUGGAAACUGUCCGGCUGGAGUGCAGGAGAGGUAAGUGGAAUUCCUAGUGUAGCGGUGAAAUGCGUAGAUAUUAGGAGGAACACCAGUGGCGAAGGCGGCUUACUGGACUGUAACUGACGUUGAGGCUCGAAAGCGUGGGGAGCAAACAGG